Molecule: microRNA precursor, 80 nt
Filed under: Mus caroli (Ryukyu mouse)
Lineage: Eukaryota; Metazoa; Chordata; Mammalia; Rodentia; Muridae
Description: miRNA (MGP_CAROLIEiJ_G0007999.1)
Source: RNAcentral
CCUAGCUGAGCCAUCUCCCCAGCUCAGAAACUAUGUUUCAGCAAAGAAUUUUUAGGAACCAGAAGUGAUGGCUCUGCAAU